RNAcentral lists this long non-coding RNA (397 nucleotides) under Pongo abelii (Sumatran orangutan). RNAcentral describes it as "lincRNA". The record is from RNAcentral. Lineage: Eukaryota; Metazoa; Chordata; Mammalia; Primates; Hominidae.
AUGGCGCAUGCUCACUUCCCAAGGCUAAGGAAGGCUCUGUGCAUGCGGGCAGCCCACCCUAAGGGAAGAAUCACGGGAAAGAGAUGGGGAACUGAGACAUGAAGAAGUUAACUUACCUAAGAUCAGAGAUUGAGUCAAGGACAGAACAGGACCAUGUCAUCAAAUUUAGAGAAACUUGAACUAUGCAGAAAAGAGAUGGGAUUCCUCUGUGGCUGUGCUGCUCACUCAAGGGAGUCUGAACCAUUUUGACCAGGAAAAGCCAAAAGGAAAGGCCUCUGCCAAGGUCAGACCACACAUUGCCUGAAGUCAUUGUUCUCCAUUCCAGCCCCAAGAACUCUGCGAGAUCGAUGAAAGCAUACAUUGAGAAAUAAAAGUCAUGAGAAAAUUUUACAAAUUA